AUGCCAGAAGCUUGGAUCUCCGACGGAGAUGCAGUUUUCACCAGCAAAGUUUGGCAAGUGAUAUUCAGGCUGCAAGGCGUCGAACUGAAGAUGAGCUCAUCCCACCACCCCCAAACUGACGGGCAAACCGAGCACGUAAAUCAGUGCCUAGAAACAUAUCUUCGUUGCUUCAUUUAGAGUGCGUCGAGGAACUAGAGCAAAUGCUUGGCAUUGGCAGAGUUUUGGUACAAUUCAGCUUUCCAUUCUACCAUGGGUAAAACUCCAUUCAUGGUGGUCUAUGGGAAAGAGCCACGGCAACUGGGCAUCACUCCUGACCACAUUACACCAAUGCCAGAACUCAAUGCUUGGCUCAAGGAGAGGCAACAGAUGCAAGAUGUUCUUCGUCAGCACUUGGUGCGAGCAAAACAAAUCAUGAAAGCCCAAGCCGACAAACGUCGCUCCUGGCGGGAAUUUCAAGUUGGGGAUCAAGCAUUUCUGAAACUGCAACCAUACAUCCAAACUUCAGUUGCUCACCGCGCCAACCACAAGCUUAGCUUCAAGUUUUUUGGGCCAUUUCCAAUGAUCAAGCGCGUCAACGAAGUCACCUAUGAGCUCCAGUUACCCGCCAACUCAUUGAUAUUCCCGGUGUUUCAUGUCUCCCAACUCAGGCAUGCUCUAACCCCUGGCAAGUGCUUAUUCUCAUAUACCUGCAGCCACAAACGUCAUCAACACACCGUCCAAGCUAAUGGAUCAUUGUUGGCGCCGCGACACACGCAAGAUACGUGA
RNAcentral lists this ribosomal RNA (765 nucleotides) under Triticum aestivum (bread wheat). Its description in RNAcentral is "partial small subunit ribosomal RNA". Lineage: Eukaryota; Viridiplantae; Streptophyta; Magnoliopsida; Poales; Poaceae. The record is from RNAcentral.